This 253-nucleotide ribosomal RNA is filed under the name uncultured bacterium. RNAcentral's name for it is "partial 16S ribosomal RNA". It matches the Rfam family "Bacterial small subunit ribosomal RNA", at positions 524 to 776 of the family's 1533-position model. The record is from RNAcentral.
UACAGAGGGUGCAAACGUUGUUCGGAAUUACUGGGCGUAAAGCGUGUGUAGGCGGCUACGUAAGUCGGACGUGAAAUCCCACGGCUCAACCGUGGAAGAGCGCUCGAUACUGUGUAGCUUGAGUCCUGGAGAGGAAAGCGGAAUACUUGGUGUAGAGGUGAAAUUCGUAGAUAUCAGGUAGAACACCAGUGGCGAAGGCGGCUUUCUGGACAGUGACUGACGCUGAGACGCGAAAGCGUGGGGAGCAAACAGG